This 1417-nucleotide long non-coding RNA is filed under the name Betta splendens (Siamese fighting fish). RNAcentral describes it as "lncRNA (ENSBSLG00000002287.1)". The record is from RNAcentral. Lineage: Eukaryota; Metazoa; Chordata; Actinopteri; Anabantiformes; Osphronemidae.
AGUUAGCGGCCCAGGCGCUUGUGGGGACAGGCCUCCGCAUGAACAGAGCCAAAUGGGCUGCGAUGAGUCAGACGCUUCGCACCGGCGACGUCCACGGACGAUCACUCCAUCACACACAGCUCGGCCUGAACCGACACGCUCGCACAGGAGAGCACCACAACCACGGGAGAGAACCACAAACACAGGAGAGCACCACAAAACAGGAGAGCACCACAAACACAGGAGAGAACCACAAAACAGGAGAGAACCACAAAACACAGGAGAGCAUCACAAACACAGGAGAGCACCACAAACACAGGAGAGCACCACAAAACAGGAGAGCAUCACAAACACAGGAAAGCACCACAAAACAGGAGAGCACCACAAACACAGGAGAGCACCACAAAACAGGAGAGCACCACAAAACACAGGAGAGCAUCACAAACACAGGAGAGCACCACAAACACAGGAGAGAACCACAAAACAGGAGAGCACCACAAACACAGGAGAGCAUCACAAACACAGGAGAGCAUCACAAACACAGGAGACAACCACAAACACAGGAGAGAACCACAAACACAGGAGAGCACCACAAAACAGGAGAGCACCACAAACACAGGAGAGAACCACAAAACAGGAGAGCACCACAAACACAGGAGAGCAUCACAAACACAGGAGAGCACCACAAACACAGGAGAGCACCACAAACACAGGAGAGCAUCACAAACACAGGAGAGCACCACAAACACAGGAGACAACCACAAAACAGAAGAGCACCACAAAACAGGAGAGCACCACAAACACAGGAGAGCACCACAAACACAGGAGAGCACCACAAACACAGGAGAGAACCACAAAACAGAAGAGCACCACAAAACAGGAGAGCACCACAAACACAGGAGAGCAUCACAAACACAGGAGAGCACCACAAACACAGGAGAGCAUCACAAACACAGGAGAGCAUCACAACCGCUGCUGCUGUGAACCGCGAGGCCCUGAUGUCGUACACCAGCGCUGAGGGUCCACAUGCAGCUACAGGUCACUGAUGAAUGGAAGCACGUGACUCCUCUUAGUCACACAUCAUCUUCGCAGGCGCAGCGUCUGUUCUCGCUCUGCGGUGGAUCCGCACUCAAAGGAGGAGUCCGGCCUCUCAGCCUGAACGUCCAGGUUAAAAACGGUGGAGCCGGUCUCUAACAUUCUGUGUCACAGCAUGCCACUAUUUUCUAAUGAUUUCUUUUAUUGUGCUUCCUGUGCAUCAGCUGAUUCUGCCUCUGAGAAAAAAAAAUUAACAAUGUGUUGACUCAGUUGUGUGGUCCUGUUUUAGUUUGUCGUGCACAAAUGCUCUCGUAGCAGCUGAUAAAUCCCCUUUCAAAAUAAAAGCCUCUUAGUGACUCAAAGCAUUUUCCUCAUAUACCCUUUGUUUAGAGCUGUCCCCGCU